This 632-nucleotide ribosomal RNA is filed under the name Collybia fissipes. Its description in RNAcentral is "eukaryotic LSU rRNA". The stretch from base 207 to 360 matches the Rfam family "5.8S ribosomal RNA". Lineage: Eukaryota; Fungi; Basidiomycota; Agaricomycetes; Agaricales; Clitocybaceae. The record is from RNAcentral.
GUUGAGCUGGUUCUUCUAGAGCAAGUGCUCGCCUGUCUUUCGAUAUUCAUCCACCUGUGCACUUUUUGUAGGAAGGCCGAGAAGAUGGACCUGGUUAAACAACCAGGUCUUUUGGUAUCGGGGCUUUCUAUGUCUUUUAUACACUCUGUAUGUUUUUGAAUGUCCUUUAUAAAGGGGCUUAGUUGACCCUUUUAAACAAACUAUACAACUUUCAGCAACGGAUCUCUUGGUUCUCGCAUCGAUGAAGAACGCAGCGAAAUGCGAUAAGUAAUGUGAAUUGCAGAAUUCAGUGAAUCAUCGAAUCUUUGAACGCACCUUGCGCCUCUUGGUAUUCCGAGAGGCAUGCCUGUUUGAGUGUCAUUUAAUUCUCAACCUCAAAAGCUUUUUUGUUUCUGAGGCUUGGAUGUGGAGGCUUUUUUUGCUGGCUUGCUUUUUAGAGUCAGCUCCUCUCAAAUGCAUUAGUGGAAACCUGUUUGUAGUCCGCGUUGGUGUGAUAAUUAUCUGCGCCAUUGUAUUCGUGGCUACAGCUCUUGUGGUGUUCGUUUGGAAAGCUGCAUGAACUUGCUCUUUCUGUUCUGAUUGACCUGCGAGAGAGUAUAUGGUAUUCGCUUCAAACCGUCCUAAGUCGGUGG